Molecule: ribosomal RNA, 253 nt
Filed under: uncultured bacterium
Lineage: Bacteria
Description: partial 16S ribosomal RNA
Rfam family: Bacterial small subunit ribosomal RNA
Source: RNAcentral
UACGAGGGGGGCGAGCGUUGUUCGGAAUUAUUGGGCGUAAAGGGUGCGUAGGCGGUUUUGUAAGUCUUAUGUGAAAUCUACAGGCUCAACUUGUAGUCUGCAUGAGAAACUGCCGGGCUUGAGUAUGGGAGAGGUGAGUGGAAUUCCUGGUGUAGCGGUGAAAUGCGUAGAUAUCAGGAGGAACACCUGUGGCGAAAGCGGCUCACUGGACCAUAACUGACGCUGAUGCACGAAAGCUAGGGGAGCAAACAGG